CCCAAAGAUCGGGAAUAGGAGUAUAUCGAACUCCUAGUACGACCCGAGGUAGCCUGUGGAUAGCAGAUAUCGUCAGGGAUUAUAGUCGGCUUUACUACUCCAAAAACUGUAGGUUUACUGCCUUUAUGCACUUUUGUUCCUUGUGGGCCCACGAGUCACUGUAAAGUAAAUUUCUUAUUUCGGUUAUCUGUAUUAUAGUACGUAUGAAUUUAUUUAGCUUUUACAUUAUAAAAAUUAUUUA
Molecule: small RNA, 241 nt
Filed under: Theobroma cacao (cacao)
Lineage: Eukaryota; Viridiplantae; Streptophyta; Magnoliopsida; Malvales; Malvaceae
Description: sRNA Tc06v2_g004970
Source: RNAcentral